Molecule: non-coding RNA, 2177 nt
Organism: Elaeis guineensis (African oil palm)
Lineage: Eukaryota; Viridiplantae; Streptophyta; Magnoliopsida; Arecales; Arecaceae
Source: RefSeq, a predicted model, not a curated record
CAUCCCGGGCUUCACCACAGCACCACUAGCAGCAGGCUGGGAUGGAGGCAAGCGAAGAGAACAAGACGAUCUGGGUGGGGGACCUCCACUACUGGAUGGAGGAGAACCAUCUCCGCACUUGCUUCGGCCCCAGCGGCGAGGUUUGGGUUUUCCUUCCUUUCUGUGAGACCCGGCCCGGUCCAGGGCCCAUUCCACGCGCCACGUGGAGGUCCGCAUGUCACAACCCCGUCAGAGAAAAAAAACCAUCCCCUGUUUUGGCUCUAAACAGAACUCCUUCUCUCUCACUCUCUGUCUCUUGCGCCCUUUUCUCUCGCUCUCUCUCUCUUCCUCUCCUUCUGUCUUCCUCACGCUCUCCUCCCUCCCCAAUGCUCUCUUGCCAAUGCUCUCCCUCUUGUGCGCACCCUGUCUUCCAUGCUCUUCUUCUCCUCCUUAAGUUCUUCUUCUUCUCUCCUCUUGUUCCUGGUUUCUUCCUUUCUUAUCAACAAGGAAAAAAAAAAAAAGAGAGAGAGAACGAGAGUGAGAAGAGGCCUCUGCCUCUCACUCGCCUUUUCCUUCCCCCUGUGCGUAGGUGUGUCGGUGUGUGUGAAUGAGUGAGUUAGAAAAUAUGAAAGAAAGAAAGAAAACAGGAUCCAUCUCUCUCUCCUCCUCUCCCUUUCUCUCUUGUUCCUCCCCUUCUUUUCCCUUCUCUUUUUCUUUUCUUGUCAUUACUUUGGACUGCGGCUGCUGCUGUUUGUGAGCUCUUCAUCAGAUAAGGUGGUUCUGGAAAUGGUGCACCUGGACAAUCAGAUGGAGAUUCAACUAACACAACAGCAAGUUUUUGUUGGAGGACUCAGACACAAAGGUUCAUGAAGAUGAUCUCAGGCAGGUCUUUUGUCAGUAUGAUGAAAUUGCCUCCAUGAAAAUUCCAGCUGGAAAACAAUGUGGCUUUGGGCAAUUUGUGCAUUUCUAAAUGCUUGAUUUUAUACUGUGAUAGUGGUGGACUCACCAUUGUUACUUUUGUUGGUUGCUGCACUAAAUUUGACCCUUUAUGUAUAUUGCACAUUAUCAUGUUUGACAGAAACAAUGCUGAAGAAGCAUUGCAGGCAUCGAAUGGAACAGUCAUUGGGAAGCAACCUGUUCGUCUUUCAUGGGGUCGCAACCCUGCAAACAGACAAAUAUAACUAAUAGUAUUAUUUCAGUACUGGACCAUUCAAACUGUCCUUUCAGCUUAGGUUACAUACCAAGCUAUAGAUACCUACCUAUUGUUAAUUUCCCAGAGAGCUUUCUUUGACUUGGAGUAUGUUCAUGAUCCAAAUCAAAUUGUGCUGUUCUUGGGCAGAUUAACAUGGGAGAUAUCUACUUUGCAAGUAUUUAUAUUUGAAGGGGGAAGAAAAGCAUUGUAAUGGUUGUCCUGCUAGAAGAUGAGCAGAGUAAGCUGUACACCUGAUGUUUGGAUUGCUCCAUGGGCCUUUCCAGUCAUACCCUUGAAAUUCAGUUGCUGGGUUGGUAUAAUAUAUAGAUGAGAUCAACGAUCGGAGGAGACCAAUGAUUUGAUUUAGAAAUCUAAUCCAUUUUUUUCAUAUCACUGUUUUUCAAGUGACAUAGGUCACAUUGAAUCAGAUGUUGCAUCUUAGAGUAUGGAUUUUUAGGAAAAGUUAAGCUAAUGACUCAUACCAUCCUCUUGCCAUAUUCUAUAUUUAUAACUAAACAUUCUUUAGGUUUUGUUGUUCUGGUGUUUUAUGAAAAGAACAUCCUAAACCUUUCUAGCUGAAACAUGAUAAUGAAAUUUCAGGCUCGAUUGCUAUCAUUUUUAUUUGUUCUAAUGUGCUUGUUUUGUUGUUUACAGUUAAAGAGGUGAUCUUGCUAAUCUGUGGAAUGGUGUUUACUAUGGACCACGGUUAUGCACUGGCUAUGGGUAUGCUGCACCAAUUCCAGGCCCAACCAUGUGUGCUAGCUCCAUAUGGUCUCAUUCCUUCAACGGAAACCAAGAAGAACAGGAUUUGUGAAGUUAUGGCUGCCCAUAUCUGGCAUCAUAAGGUUCCUCAGGCGCCUUUGAAUCAACCUGUGCAGCACCCUUGCUUUUUAUAUGGGCAGAGAUUCCCCAUGCUAUAUGUAUGUGCAGAGAUUUGAUUUGUUUCUUAGGUUUCACAAAUGGCCAUUAUAGAUCUAGUAAAUAAAAAUAAAUCAGGGAGCUGUUU